AUUGAACGCUGGCGGCAUGCUUUACACAUGCAAGUCGGACGGCAGCGGGGUAGUGCUUGCACUACUGCCGGCGAGUGGCGAACGGGUGAGUAAUAUAUUGGAACGUACCGAGUAAUGGGGGAUAACCAAUCGAAAGAUUGGCUAAUACCGCAUACGCUCUGAGGAGGAAAGCAGGGGACCUUCGGGCCUUGCGUUAUUCGAGCGGCCAAUAUCUGAUUAGCUAGUUGGUGGGGUAAGGGCCUACCAAGGCGACGAUCAGUAGCGGGUCUGAGAGGAUGAUCCGCCACACUGGGACUGAGACACGGCCCAGACUCCUACGGGAGGCAGCAGUGGGGAAUUUUGGACAAUGGGCGCAAGCCUGAUCCAGCCAUGCCGCGUGGCUGAAGAAGGCCUUCGGGUUGUAAAGGACUUUUGUUAGGGAAGAAAAAGGAGCGGUUAAUACCCGUUUCUGCUGACGGGACCUAAAGAAUAAGCACCGGCGAACUACGU
RNAcentral lists this ribosomal RNA (489 nucleotides) under uncultured bacterium. RNAcentral describes it as "partial 16S ribosomal RNA". It matches the Rfam family "Bacterial small subunit ribosomal RNA", at positions 30 to 506 of the family's 1533-position model. The record is from RNAcentral.